GGGAUUAGAUACCCCACUAUGCUUAGCCUUAAACCUAGAUGUUAAAUUUACAAACAACAUCCGCCAGGGUACUACAAGCGCUAGCUUAAAACCCAAAGGACUUGACGGUGUCUCAGACCCACCUAGAGGAGCCUGUUCUAGAACCGAUAAUCCCCGUUAAACCUCACCACCCCUUGUUUUCUCCGCCUAUAUACCGCCGUCGCAAGCUUACCCUGUGAAGGACUCAUAGUAAGCAAAAUGGGUAAAUCCCAAAACGUCAGGUCGAGGUGUAGCUUACGAGGUGGGAAGAAAUGGGCUACAUUUUCUAUAUCAGAAUAAUACGAACAGCACUAUGAAAUUAAUGCUUGAAGGUGGAUUUAGUAGUAAAAAACAAAUAGAGAGUCUUUUUGAACCAGGCUCUGAGACGCGCACACACCGCCC
RNAcentral lists this ribosomal RNA (420 nucleotides) under Astyanax aurocaudatus. Its description in RNAcentral is "partial 12S ribosomal RNA". It matches the Rfam family "Bacterial small subunit ribosomal RNA", at positions 774 to 1395 of the family's 1533-position model. The record is from RNAcentral. Lineage: Eukaryota; Metazoa; Chordata; Actinopteri; Characiformes; Acestrorhamphidae.